Molecule: non-coding RNA, 569 nt
Organism: Chelonoidis abingdonii (Abingdon island giant tortoise)
Lineage: Eukaryota; Metazoa; Chordata; Testudines; Testudinidae
Source: RefSeq, a predicted model, not a curated record
GAAAACGAGCCGCACCGAGACCGAGCAGCACCACCCCUUUGGCGGAGUUGAAGGUCCCGGCUCAGCAAGACCCCAUCUAUUCCUCCAUUGACGAAGGGAAAGAGACGCAGACCCUGCCCCAGGAGCCUGACCCCGACGGACUCACCUACGCUGAGCUGAACCACCAGGCGCUGCAGGCCAAGCAGAGGGGCCUGGCGCCUGCUCCUGACCCUGUCCAGCCCAGUGUGUACGCCGCGAUCAACGUGAGCCAGGGGAUCCCACAGUGAGAGCCCCACGCAGCCAUGGGGCGUUGGCCCCCAGCAUGUGACAGACUCAGACUCACAGACCUUAAGGCCAGAAGGGUCCAUCGUGAUCAUCUGGUCUGAGCUGCUGCACUUCGCAGGCCAUAGAGCCUCAUCCACCCACUUCUGUAGCGGCCUCCGGCUGAGUCACUGAUGGCCUCAAAUCAUGGGUUAGAAACUUCAAGUUACAGAGAAUCCACCAUUGACACUAGUUUAAACCUGCCAGUGCCCCAGGUUCCAGGCUGCAUAUGAAGGUAAAACACCUGCAGGGUCUCUGCCAACCUGACU